Molecule: ribosomal RNA, 253 nt
Filed under: uncultured bacterium
Lineage: Bacteria
Description: partial 16S ribosomal RNA
Rfam family: Bacterial small subunit ribosomal RNA
Source: RNAcentral
UACGUAGGGGGCAAGCGUUGUCCGGAUUCAUUGGGCGUAAAGAGCGUGUAGGCGGCCAGGUAGGUCGGUUGUGAAAACUGGAGGCUCAACCUUCAGAGGUCGACCGAAACCAUCUGGCUAGAGUCCGGGAGAGGAGAGUGGAAUUCCUGGUGUAGCGGUGAAAUGCGUAGAGAUCGGCAGGAACACCCAGGGGGAAACCAGCCGACUGGGCAUCUGCUGACGCUGAGGUGCGAGAGCGUGGGGAGCGAACCGG